RNAcentral lists this ribosomal RNA (440 nucleotides) under uncultured bacterium. Its description in RNAcentral is "partial 16S ribosomal RNA". It matches the Rfam family "Bacterial small subunit ribosomal RNA", at positions 339 to 795 of the family's 1533-position model. The record is from RNAcentral.
CUACGGGGCGCUGCAGUAAGGAAUAUUGCACAAUGGGGGAAACCCUGAUGCAGCAACGCCGCGUGGACGAAGAAGGCCUUCGGGUCGUAAAGUCCUUUUCUGAGGGAAGAGGAAGGACGGUACCUCAGGAAUAAGUCUCGGCUAACUACGUGCCAGCAGCCGCGGUAAAACGUAGGAGGCGAGCGUUAUCCGGAUUCACUGGGCGUAAAGGGCAAGUAGGCGGUUGUUUAAGUUAGGUGUGACAUCUCUCGGCUUAACUGGGAGGGAGCGCUUAAAACUAGGCAACUAGAGGGCGGAAGAGGGGGGUAGAACUCCAAAUGUAGCGGUGGAAUGCUCAGAUAUUUGGAAGAAUACCAGUGGCGAAGGCGACCCCCUGGUCCGUGCCUGACGCUGAGAGGCGAAAGCUAGGGUAGCGAACGGGAUUAGAUACCCCUGUAGUC